UACGUAGGUAGCGAGCGUUAUCCGGAAUUAUUGGGCGUAAAGGGUGCGCAGGCGGCAUGUCAAGUUUAAGGUGAAAGGCUAAGGCUCAACCUUAGUAAGCCUCGGAUACUGUCAAGCUUGAGUGCAGGAGAGGCAAGUGGAAUUCCUUGUGUAGCGGUGAAAUGCGUAGAUAUAUGGAGGAACACCGGUGGCGAAGGCGGCUUCCUGGAUAGUGACUGACGCUGAGGCGCGAAAGCGUGGGGAGCAAAUAGG
This 252-nucleotide ribosomal RNA is filed under the name uncultured bacterium. Its description in RNAcentral is "partial 16S ribosomal RNA". It matches the Rfam family "Bacterial small subunit ribosomal RNA", at positions 524 to 776 of the family's 1533-position model. The record is from RNAcentral.